RNAcentral lists this transfer RNA (87 nucleotides) under Rhodospirillales bacterium. RNAcentral describes it as "tRNA-Leu". It matches the Rfam family "tRNA". From Rfam's summary of the family: Transfer RNA (tRNA) molecules are approximately 80 nucleotides in length. Their secondary structure includes four short double-helical elements and three loops (D, anti-codon, and T loops). Further hydrogen bonds mediate the characteristic L-shaped molecular structure. tRNAs have two regions of fundamental functional importance: the anti-codon, which is responsible for specific mRNA codon recognition, and the 3' end, to which the tRNAs corresponding amino acid is attached (by aminoacyl-tRNA synthetases). tRNAs cope with the degeneracy of the genetic code in two manners: having more than one tRNA (with a specific anti-codon) for a particular amino acid; and 'wobble' base-pairing, i.e. permitting non-standard base-pairing at the 3rd anti-codon position. RNAcentral also lists the same sequence under 1 other name. The record is from RNAcentral. Lineage: Bacteria; Pseudomonadati; Pseudomonadota; Alphaproteobacteria; Rhodospirillales.
GCCCAGGUGGCGGAAUUGGUAGACGCGCAGGCUUCAGGUGUCUGUGGGGGCAACCCCGUGGAAGUUCGAGUCUUCUCCUGGGCACCA